UAGCACAAAUUCUUCGGCACGCCACAAAAAUUCCACCACCAUUUCUUUCCAUCAUCAAAAUGCACAACCUCAGCCUUGUGCAUUCAGAAAAAUUAAAAUAAAAAAAAAAUGAUACAAAAACCACCACCCAUGGAUUUGGAAAAUAUAGUGGAGAUCAAUUCCAGACAUCAAUGACUGAGUUUACAGUUCGAAAUUUUCCUCCACGCCAUCCAGAACGAGUGAAACGAAUCUUAUGUUUAGUAGAGACUACAAUACCUGAGUGUGAUCCACAGACUUGUAGUGUCUGCACCCUCCGACCACUUGUUGAUGUGUUCGCUCUAAUCCAAACAACAUUC
Long non-coding RNA from Episyrphus balteatus (marmalade hoverfly), 335 nucleotides. RefSeq lists it as uncharacterized. NCBI's taxonomy places the organism in Eukaryota, Metazoa, Arthropoda, Insecta, Diptera, Syrphidae. The record is from RefSeq and is a predicted model, not a curated record. The transcript has 3 exons.